RNAcentral lists this ribosomal RNA (492 nucleotides) under uncultured bacterium. RNAcentral describes it as "partial 16S ribosomal RNA". It matches the Rfam family "Bacterial small subunit ribosomal RNA", at positions 29 to 507 of the family's 1533-position model. The record is from RNAcentral.
AGUGAACGCUGGCGGUAGGCCUAACACAUGCCAGUCGAACGGCAGCACAGUAAGAGCUUGCUCUUACGGGUGGCGAGUGGCGGACGGGUGAGGAAUACAUCGGAAUCUACUUUUUCGUGGGGGAUAACGUAGGGAAACUUACGCUAAUACCGCAUACGACCUACGGGUGAAAGCAGGGGAUCUUCGGACCUUGCGCGAUUGAAUGAGCCGAUGUCGGAUUAGCUAGUUGGCGGGGUAAAGGCCCACCAAGGCGACGAUUCGUAGCUGGUCUGAGAGGAUGAUCAGCCACACUGGAACUGAGACACGGUCCAGACUCCUACGGGAGGCAGCAGUGGGGAAUAUUGGACAGUGGGCGCAAGCCUGAUCCAGCCAUACCGCGUGGGUGAAGAAGGCCUUCGGGUUGUAAAGCCCUUUUGUUGGGAAAGAAAAGCAGCAGGUUAAUACCCCGCUGUUCUGACGGUACCCAAAGAAUAAGCACCGGCUAACUUCGUG